UCUUGUUUCAACAGCCGGUGGGCCACGUGGUCAAAGGCGUUUAGCAGCUCGGGCCAGGAAGAGACGUUCAUCUCAAAGGAAGGGUUAGCCUCAUUAUGUGAAGCUUGGGCUCUUGAUGAUCCUUGUUGGUGAGAGAAAUGAUCAUCUAGGUCGAAUGCGCCUUCUGGAGGGCGACCCUCAACAUUACGCUUCUUUCGUACCGGUAAGUUGGUGGUGUGCUCAGAAUCACCAACAAUUGGUUUGGUGCUAGGUUUUAAGGAAGCCUCCCUCAGUCGGCGAGCCAUUUCAGCUUUAGUAAGAAGCAUGGCGUUAUCUGAAAAGGAAAGUAUUAAUG
Molecule: long non-coding RNA, 334 nt
Filed under: Phaseolus vulgaris (common bean)
Lineage: Eukaryota; Viridiplantae; Streptophyta; Magnoliopsida; Fabales; Fabaceae
Description: long non-coding RNA (PVUL_LNC003637)
Source: RNAcentral